RNAcentral lists this non-coding RNA (29 nucleotides) under Rattus norvegicus (Norway rat). Lineage: Eukaryota; Metazoa; Chordata; Mammalia; Rodentia; Muridae. The record is from RNAcentral.
UCAAGAUGCAAACUCGCUGUGUUGGGUUA